GGGUUAUUAUUUCUCACACAUUUGACAGAGAGAACGCCAAGAGAGAGAGAGAACUAGAGAGAGAAGAAGGAUUUUGGUGUGAAUCAAGGAGAAAGGAGCUUGAAUUGAAGCUUUUGGACUUUCUAAAGCUUGGAUUGCAAGAUCUUCACAAGAUUGAGAUUUGAGCUUGGAUUGAAGUGUGGAGAUAGGAGGAGUGGUGGUUGUGCUAAGGUUUGAAGAAUUUGUCAAGGUUGAUUGGGCAUGGAAGAGUUGUGGUGUUUGGCUAAAACGAGGUGAUAUAGGUACUAGCACUAGUGCUCCGACUACGGAUCAGCAGGGAGGAGCGUGACGCGGAUGGCCUGGACUUGUAGUGGUUUGUUGUUUUAUUUUUGUGUGGUGUUUGAUUAGUCUUUGGCUAAAUUGUAUAUUGGGAUAUAUACGUAAUGUGUGGGAUGAAUGAUGAUUUUGGAUGGUUAGACUUGAUGCCUUGGUAUGUAUGUGUGUAUGAUGAUUUAUGUUUGGGAUGAUAUGGCCGGAGGCCCUGGAUAUUUAGUUUGGUGGUAUGGGCAUUUGUUGGUUUUAAAUUGCUAUGUUUUAUGCAGGAGGCAUUCUCUGAUAUACGGGGAGGU
This is a long non-coding RNA of Tripterygium wilfordii, 608 nucleotides long. RefSeq lists it as uncharacterized. NCBI's taxonomy places the organism in Eukaryota, Viridiplantae, Streptophyta, Magnoliopsida, Celastrales, Celastraceae. The transcript has 4 exons. The record is from RefSeq and is a predicted model, not a curated record.